UCAGAUUAAAACUGGAAUGUGUUUGUUAAUUCUUGUUCUGUUACUCUGUAUCUAUUUUUUUUCCUAAAAAAUGUAACAUACAUUCACACAUCAAAAGAGAAACCAUAUUCACAAAGGUGCUUGACAUUCAUCGUUAAAAUGCAUUUUAUCAUUGCAUCCUUAAUACAAACUCUCAAGGAACUCUGCGAAGACUCACUGUAGAAUGAAUAGAAUUUAAGAAUUCUAGUACCUGAUACCCCAUAGAAAUUACAUGCACAAGAAAUACACAGGAGUUUGUAGAAAAUAUGUCAGAGAACAGGCAAAGAUUAGUGAAUUAGUGAGGAGAGAAAAAAGCCAAACCUCAUAUUCAUUACUGGUGAAAUCAAAUUAAGUUUCUCAUUUUCAAAAUUUGAAUAAAUGCAAAUACUAAUUGGGCAGAGCAAUGGGUAAUAAUUCAUAUAUUGACUGAUUUCUUUAAAUUAGAGGAAUUCAGCUGCAGUGGGGUUUUGCCCAGCCUUCAAUGUUAUUGGAAAUGGAAGAAUGUCCUAAGAUUAGCCACUGAUGGUGAAAGUGCUCUGAACUUGAAUUCAGCAGAUUAACAAUCAUAUGAGAUAGGUUGAGGCUACCCAGAACUAAUGUACUCCAUCUAUAUUUAAGUCUCUCAGAUUUAAAACUCUUGAGUGAAUAUCAAUCAAAUGUCUGCUUCAUUAUAGUUAUUUUGAUAUUUUGGAAAUUCAAUAUCAGUAUGUUUUUAAUUAUGUAUUGCAAUUCUUAAGAAUGACAACAAGCUAAUGUAGGUUAAUUUAAUGUGAAAAACCUUUCAGUCUGCAUGCGAUUAAGGAUGAGGUGUUUCUUAGAAAAAAACCUGCAAUGCCAGUUACUAGCACUUAAAUACACAUCUCUCAGUGAGACAGUAAGUAAAGACAAGGCAACUGGUUCAUUUUAUUUAAUGAAGAAACGUUUCUAAUACAAGAAGGCAUAGAAGCCAGCUCAGGCCAUAUGAUAGUGAAAAUUAUGAAAUGCUAAGUCCAACAGAGGCAGAUUGUCAAAGUCAGAUAUGCUCAGCCGCAUGCAAUGCAAUCUUGCGUGCAUAAUUUGUGCAUACAAAUAGCACAUAAAUUUUGCCUUGGCUGGCAUACAUCACUAGGUAAACACAACAUCCGUCUGCAGUAUAUGGAUGAACCAUAAUGAUAACGUCUUCAGUUAGUCUGUGAAUUCUGACUCAGGCUGUAGGUUGCCCCUGGGAGCCACCUGACAGAAGGUAGAUUGAUCAGGAACUGUGAGGUUUGGCAUAUUGCUUGCCCUGUGGGCUACUCACAUUUUAAGUCCUAACACAGCAGGGAGAGCCCCCCUAAAAAGCCAUCUAGCCUUCUCUUAUGCAAGUGGGUACAGCAGGCAACAGGGAAAUUAGGGUCCUCCUUUUUUCAAGGGAAGUUAAAUAGGGGAAGAUAUACCCUAGUCUAGGUGCAGGACUAGCACAGUCUGCUUACUGCCUGGAUCACUGGAGAGGGCUCCAUAUUAACUCAGAGUCCUUUGGGAUUUAAUUUAAAUGCUCUAGAUUUCAGAAAGGUCUUCACAUCAAUCCUUUGGAUGGGCAUGUGUUAGCACAACUUAGUAUUGUCUCUAUCUCUGUUCAGUUAGACAUACACUGCGCCGUGCUUGGAGAAAUCUAAGAAAAUGAUUUUGGCAAAACAGAACUGGGAGGAGUAAAUGUCUAAAAUUAAUUUCUUUUCUUUCCUUCAUAUAGAGUUGUAUGUGUUUUGCCCAUUUUUGUGCAGUUCUGACAGCAUAGUAAGAGUUUCAGGGAGAAUGAACAAGGAUGGAGCUUGUCAAACUGAAACCAUUUUGAGUUUACCAUCACUAGCGUAAUGAAUGUUCAAACACAGAGUUGCAUUAAAAUAGUACUUUGCACUGAUUUUUUCUUUUCCUGAUUAAACUCAUAUAUCAAAUGUAGCUGCAAAUAUAUUCAACUUUCCAUGUAAAAGAUGUACAAUUCAGGUAGGGUCAAGUUAAAACAUUGCCCUGAUUUAAGAAUGAUUGCAAUGUCAUGGCAAUUCCAUAUUUGAUUAGAGUCAACAAAAAGUUACAUUCUUUUAAAAAUCUUUUAUUAAUGUUGUUUUCUCACUUAUCAGCUUAUAUAUCUUAAGCUACACUUUCUUGGAAUAUGUUUAGUAUGUGACUAGCAUGUUACUCACUGGUGGCUUGUCCUGUUUGUGUUGAAAAUGAUACAAGAAUUAUGAAGGGAUUCAGAGCUGGGCUAUAUUUGCCUUCAAAUUUGGUAUGUAACUUCUUUUUUUUUUCUAAACAUAAAUGUUUAAAUAUGUUCUGUACUUAAUAAUGAUAACAUUUUUGAUACUUUUGUGAAGCAUAGGGUAAGACUUUUAUAUAUCCAAGAGUCAACAUUUAUCAUUUGCAUAAUGGAAGAUUGUUUUAAUGGGAGAGUUGCUUAAUGUCAGACAAUGACUUGCUGCAGACAUGUGGAAUUUUCCAUUUCUCUACAGUAUGAACUAUGAUUAUUUACAUGCAUUCAUAUUAUUAUUUGUUUUUGAAAUAUUUAACAUAUUCAUAUUUUCUGAGGUUUUUUGUUUUCAUAUGCCUGCAAUAACAAGUAUUUGUGAAAAGCAUGCCAGCUUCUGUUUUAAAGCCAGCUGCAAUAUAAAAUAAAAAUUUAAAAAAAUUAUGUGGCUGCAAUUGUAACCACCUGCAUAUGAACUGAAGUAAUGUCUCAGUGGUUAGCAAGGCCAGUGUAAGCCUGAUUCAUCCAGUACUAAAAUAAAUGGGAAGACCAAAAUGACUUAAAUGAGAAAUGAGUGGGAUUCUAAAGUUAUGAACACCACCAGUUGCCUGAUCCGUCAGAGUUUAAUUUGUCUUGCUACCUUUUAAGCCUAAUAACUCAAUCUCAGCGGUUAGAUUAUCAGAUUACUUCAGGGGAUGGAGAAUUCUAUGCCCAAUUUGUUAGCACAGUUAGAAUCUUUAUGAGAAAUAUAUGUCGCUCAACUGGGAUUAUUGUUUGAAAUUCUGACAUAUAAUGUAAUGUGAAUAUAAAUGCCCAUAUGAUGCAAUUAUUUAUGACAGAAAAUGACAGGGAUCCAGGGGCCAACAUAGCACCAGAAGAUAUUCAGGUGGAAAAAAAUUACCUUUAAGUAAAGGCUAGUGAAGAAUAAGAUAUUGUUCAGGUUGCUAUAGGUAAUUACAGAAAAGAUACCAAGGAUACAAAAAUUGAGCUUUCCAUUUUAACCAUCAAUUCACAUAAAGUUAAUAAAGAACAAUUUUCAGUGACAAGCAUCCUGAAGUAUCUCUUUUCAAUUCUCUAAACAAGUCUCUGCAAAUAGCAAAGGGUGAAUUGACUUUCAGAUGCUUCUCUCAGAAAAGAACAUGAAAAUAUCUUAGCAAUUCUUUAAAAAAAAUGAAAUUAUUUAAAAGGAAUAUUAGAUGCUUAAGUGCUUAAAAUUAUGGGUAUUGAUAGUCUACAUAGUACACUAGCAUGUCUGUUUCUGACAGCAAUCAAAUUCACUGUAUCCAUGAUUACAUGACCUUCAUUAAAUUUUUUAACUGAAUAAAACUAGUUUCUUAAGCAAGAUGAUAGAAAUGUGCCUUAUUCAUGUCAAAACAAAUUGCCAGUCAGGUUUGUUUACAGAAAUACAUAUAGAGAUAGAGAUAGAGGUGUACAGAAGUACAGACUUGCCUGUAUAUAUUUGAAAUAUAUAAAUAUACAUUUCUGUAAAUAAGCAUGCAAAUACUAAAUACUUCAUGUUCUAUCCUGCACAAAGGCCAUGUACGAAACAAUUCUAGUUCUCAAGACUCAGUGGAAAUAGUUAUGCUUAUUUUAAUUAAAAUUUAAUCAGGCCCUAAAAUAGGCUCUCAAGAAUUAAGGCCAUAUUAGGUUUGGCUUAAAUGCUAGUAGCUGAAAUAUCUCUCAGGGGGGUUUCUUCAAGCACUCAUUACUAAGCUAAGCAUGGGAAUUGUUUAUAUAAGUCUCAUUUCUGUAUUUUAUAGUGGUUCAGUGUUUCUUUGUUUCAAGAACAGUUUUCAUUUUCCUUCUUUUUCCUUGAUUUCAGAUGAACUUAAUUGUAGUUUGGCUUUCUAGUUAUUUAGUCAACCAACAGCUUCUAAUCAACCUUGAUAAGAAAAUAUUUCACCACUAACCCCCAGUAUAUUCCCAGUCCACAGAAGAGCAGAAAGAAGGCAAAGAUUAAUUUCUUAGACUUCCAAAUACAACAAGUGUUUGAAGAUGUUAUAGACCUGUACCGCUGGGUGAUGUCUGCCCGACAGGUUCCCCUCAAAGAGGAUAUGGGAUAUUCUGAAGGAAUCUUUUGAUAUUUUCAAUUACUGUUCUGCCCUGCAAAGUCCCUUCUUGACAACUGAUAAACUCUGCAUUGAAUAUUCUGUAGUAACCAACCUCAUCUGUGCUUCCAUAUCCGAGUGAAUUAUUAGAAGGUGUCCAGUAUAUUUGGCCAUAUGGAUUUUCUGUUUUGUACGCCUACACCCUCUCUUGUCAUGGAUACUGCUGCUGGUGGAUUGAACAAGACAUAAAAGGUACUAAAAAAAUGAACAAUUUUUAAAGAAGAAAAAAAAAACCUCUCUCUCACCUCUUCCCCAUUUUGAGUAUUGACCUACCUAGCUUUAAUUGCAAGAUACACUUGCAAAAUGCUUUACCUUUCCUCUCUCAUGGGAUUAUUGCCACUGGCUUUCUGUGAAGAUUUUGAACAUUCAGCUGUCAGAGUAUGUACAGAUAGAAUUCAAGGGCUGUCAGUGGCUUCUUUGCAGAAUGUCUCAUUUCCACCUGUGUUAUUGCUGAAGUAUUGAUACAUGAUGCUGCAUAUGGGAGGACAGUCCCAGCGUCCUUAUUCAAUAUUGACUGCAUGAGCUUUCUCUGGGUAUAUGGAGUUUGAGGAGGUGCACUGCUUGGAGUCCCGAACCAUAUGACUGUAUAUGUAAGCACACACCAAAAGAAGAAAGUUAUCGAUAACUGUUGUCAGAUUAAUUUCUUUAGUGUGUGUAUGCAGGUGCCUAUGGUCCACCCUGCCCUCCUACCUCACCUUCUCAGUCCUCUGAAAACUUUAAAAAAAAAAAAAAAAAAAAAAAAAAAAAAGGAAAAAAAACCCA
Molecule: long non-coding RNA, 5085 nt
Organism: Aquila chrysaetos chrysaetos
Lineage: Eukaryota; Metazoa; Chordata; Aves; Accipitriformes; Accipitridae
Exons: 2
Source: RefSeq, a predicted model, not a curated record